CGGUAAUUCCAGCUCCAAUAGCGUAUACUAAGUUGUUGCAGUUAAAAAGCUCGUAGUUGGAUUUCUGCGGGGACGGAGCGGCCGGUCGCAACUUGCGACUCGAGCUAGCGCUUUCCCCGCAUCCUGCCGCGAACCGUGCUACCAUUAGUUUGGUGGCGCUGGGGAUCGGCUCGAUUACUUUGAGAAAAAUAGAGUGUUCAAAGCAGGCCACACGCCUUGAAUAAGUUAGCAUGGAAUAAUGACUAAGGACUUUGGUUCUUUUCGUUGGUGUUCGGGACUGAAGUAAUGAUUGAUAGGGACAGUUGGGGCGGUCCGUAUUCCAAAGCGAGAGGUGAAAUUCUUAGACCUUCGGAAGACGAACAGCUGCGAAAGCGUUCCGCAAGGAUGUUCCCUUUGAUCAAGAACGAAAGUUGGGGGAUCGAAGACGAUCAGAUACCGUCGUAGUCUCAACUAUAAACUAUACCAGCUAGGGAUCGGCCAACGUUUAAUUAUUCGACUUGGUCGGCACCUUAUGAGAAAUCAAAGCAUCUGGGUUCCGGGGGGAGUAUGGUCGCAAGGCUGAAACUUAAAGGAAUUGACGGAAGGGCACCACCAGCCGUGGAGCCUGUGGCUUAAUUUGACUCAACACGGGAAAACUUACCAGGUCCGGACAUAGUAAGGAUUGACAGAUUGAUAGCUCUUUCUUGAUUCUGUGGGUGGUGGUGCAUGGCCGUUUUUAGUCGGUGGAUGUGAUCUGUCUGCUUAAUUGCGUUAACGGACGAGACCCCAGCCUGCUAAAUAGCGCGGCCGAGCUUUGCUCGGUGCGAGCUUCUUAGAGGGACCAUGAUGCGCGAUAGCACAAGGAAGUUUGGGGCAACAACAGGUCUGUGAUGCCCUUAGAUGUUCUGGGCCGCACACGGGCUACACUGGCGCCUGCAACGAGCAUAUCAGCUGGCCCGAGAGGGUCUUGGCUAAUCUUUGGAACCGGCGCCGUGCUUGGGAUUGACCAUUGCAAUUGUUGGUCAUGCAACGAGGAAUGCCUUGUAAACGCGAGUCAUCAGCUCGCAUUGAAUACGUCCCUGCCCUUUGUACACACCGCCCGUCGCUCCUACCGAUGAAUGUUCCGAUGAAAUUUUCGGAGAGCGCCGGAGAACGGGGCUCCGCCCUGCAGAACUGGAGGCUCAAAGUCACUUAAAUCUGAACAUUUCGAGGAAGGAGAAGUCGUAACAAGGUAACC
Molecule: ribosomal RNA, 1216 nt
Filed under: uncultured Rhizaria
Lineage: Eukaryota
Description: SSU rRNA
Rfam family: Eukaryotic small subunit ribosomal RNA
Source: RNAcentral